UACAGAGGGUGCGAGCGUUGUUCGGAAUCAUUGGGCGUAAAGCGCGCGUAGGCGGUUACUUAUGUCGGAUGUGAAAGCCCUCGGCUUAACUGAGGAAGUGCAUUCGAAACUGGGUAGCUAGAGUACUAAAGAGGGUCGCGGAAUUCCCGGUGUAGAGGUGAAAUUCGUAGAUAUCGGGAGGAACACCGGUGGCGAAGGCGGCGACCUGGGUAGAUACUGACGCUGAGGCGCGAAAGCGUGGGGAGCAAACAGG
Molecule: ribosomal RNA, 253 nt
Filed under: uncultured bacterium
Lineage: Bacteria
Description: partial 16S ribosomal RNA
Rfam family: Bacterial small subunit ribosomal RNA
Source: RNAcentral